Molecule: ribosomal RNA, 805 nt
Filed under: uncultured Sphingobacteriales bacterium
Lineage: Bacteria; Pseudomonadati; Bacteroidota; Sphingobacteriia; Sphingobacteriales
Description: bacterial SSU rRNA
Rfam family: Bacterial small subunit ribosomal RNA
Source: RNAcentral
AGUCGUGGGGCAGCAGGGGCGUAGCAAUACGUUCGCUGGCGACCGGCAAACGGGUGCGGAACACGUACACAACCUUCCUUUAAGUGGGGGAUAGCCCGGGGAAACCCGGAUUAAUACCCCGUAAUAUAAUGAAGUGGCAUUGCUUUAUUAUUAUAGCAGCAAUGCGCUUGAAGAUGGGUGUGCGACUGAUUAGGCAGUUGGCGGGGUAACGGCCCACCAAACCUACGAUCAGUAACUGGUGUGAGAGCACGACCAGUCACACGGGCACUGAGACACGGGCCCGACUCCUACGGGAGGCAGCAGUAAGGAAUAUUGGUCAAUGGACGCAAGUCUGAACCAGCCAUGCCGCGUGGAGGAUGAAGGUCCUCUGGAUUGUAAACUUCUUUUAUCUGGGAAGAAACCCAUGAAUUCUUUCGUGGUUGACGGUACCAGAUGAAUAAGCACCGGCUAACUCCGUGCCAGCAGCCGCGGUAAUACGGAGGGUGCAAGCGUUAUCCGGAUUCACUGGGUUUAAAGGGUGCGUAGGUGGGUUGGUAAGUCAGUGGUGAAAUCUCCAGGCUUAACUUGGAAACUGCCAUUGAUACUAUCAACCUUGAAUACCGUGGAGGUCAGCGGAAUAUGUCAUGUAGCGGUGAAAUGCUUAGAUAUGACAUAGAACACCAAUUGCGAAGGCAGCUGGCUACGCGGAUAUUGACACUGAUGCACGAAAGCGUGGGGAUCAAACAGGAUUAGAUACCCUGGUAGUCCACGCCCUAAACGAUGGAUACUCGACAUACGCGAUAUACUGUGUGUGUCUGAGCGAAAG